CCCCGGUAAACGGCGGCCGUAACUAUAACGGUCCUAAGGUAGCGAAAUUCCUUGUCGGGUAAGUUCCGACCUGCACGAAUGGCGUAAUGAUGGCCAGGCUGUCUCCACCCGAGACUCAGUGAAAUUGAACUCGCUGUGAAGAUGCAGUGUACCCGCGGCAAGACGGAAAGACCCCGUGAACCUUUACUAUAGCUUGACACUGAACAUUGAGCCUUGAUGUGUAGGAUAGGUGGGAGGCUUUGAAGUGUGGACGCCAGUCUGCAUGGAGCCGACCUUGAAAUACCACCCUUUAAUGUUUGAUGUUCUAACGUGGACCCGUAAUCCGGGUUGCGGACAGUGUCUGGUGGGUAGUUUGACUGGGGCGGUCUCCUCCUAAAGAGUAACGGAGGAGCACGAAGGUUGGCUAAUCCUGGUCGGACAUCAGGAGGUUAGUGCAAUGGCAUAAGCCAGCUUGACUGCGAGCGUGACGGCGCGAGCAGGUGCGAAAGCAGGUCAUAGUGAUCCGGUGGUUCUGAAUGGAAGGGCCAUCGCUCAACGGAUAAAAGGUACUCCGGGGAUAACAGGCUGAUACCGCCCAAGAGUUCAUAUCGACGGCGGUGUUUGGCACCUCGAUGUCGGCUCAU
Molecule: ribosomal RNA, 623 nt
Filed under: Salmonella enterica
Lineage: Bacteria; Pseudomonadati; Pseudomonadota; Gammaproteobacteria; Enterobacterales; Enterobacteriaceae
Also listed under: 5 other names
Description: partial 23S ribosomal RNA
Rfam family: Bacterial large subunit ribosomal RNA
Source: RNAcentral